AUACGGAGGAUCCGAGCGUUAUCCGGAUUUAUUGGGUUUAAAGGGUGCGCAGGCGGGAGAUUAAGUCGGCGGUGAAAUUUUGCAGCUCAACUGUAAAAGUGCCUUCGAAACUGGUUUUCUUGAGUAUGGAUGAAGUAGGCGGAAUUUGUGGUGGAGCGGUGAAAUGCAUAGAUAUCACGAGGAACUCCGAUUGCGCAGGCAGCUUACUAAACUACUACUGACGCUCAGGCACGAAGGCGUGGGGAUCAAACAGGAUUAGAUACCCUGGUAGUCCACGCAGUAAACGAUGAUUACUAGCUGUUUGCGAUACAAUGUAAGCGGCUGAGCGAAAGCGUUAAGUAAUCCACCUGGGGAGUACGUUCGCAAGAAUGAAACUCAAAGGAAUUGACGGGG
This 393-nucleotide ribosomal RNA is filed under the name uncultured bacterium. Its description in RNAcentral is "partial 16S ribosomal RNA". It matches the Rfam family "Bacterial small subunit ribosomal RNA", at positions 523 to 918 of the family's 1533-position model. The record is from RNAcentral.